AUGAACGCUGGCGGCGUGCCUAAUCCAUGCAAGUCGAGCGAACGGACGAGAAGCUUGCUUCUCUGAUGUUAGCUGCGGACGGGUGAGUAACACGUGGAUAACCUACCUAUAAGACUGGGAUAACUUCGGGAAACCGGAGCUAAUACCGGAUGAUAUUUUGAACCGCAUGGUUCAAAAGUGAAAGACGGUCUUGCUGUCACUUAUAGAUGGAUCCGCGCUGCAUUAGCUAGUUGGUAAGGUAACGGCUUACCAAGGCAACGAUGCAUAGCCGACCUGAGAGGGUGAUCGGCCACACUGGAACUGAGACACGGUCCAGACUCCUACGGGAGGCAGCAGUAGGGAAUCUUCCGCAAUGGGCGAAAGCCUGACGGAGCAACGCCGCGUGAGUGAUGAAGGUCUUCGGAUCGUAAAACUCUGUUAUUAGGGAAGAACAUAUGUGUAAGUAACUGUGCACAUCUUGACGGUACCUAAUCAGAAAGCCACGGCUAACUACGUG
RNAcentral lists this ribosomal RNA (496 nucleotides) under uncultured bacterium. Its description in RNAcentral is "partial 16S ribosomal RNA". It matches the Rfam family "Bacterial small subunit ribosomal RNA", at positions 29 to 507 of the family's 1533-position model. The record is from RNAcentral.